RNAcentral lists this ribosomal RNA (214 nucleotides) under uncultured Klebsiella sp. Its description in RNAcentral is "partial 16S ribosomal RNA". It matches the Rfam family "Bacterial small subunit ribosomal RNA", at positions 309 to 525 of the family's 1533-position model. Lineage: Bacteria; Pseudomonadati; Pseudomonadota; Gammaproteobacteria; Enterobacterales; Enterobacteriaceae. The record is from RNAcentral.
CGCCCGCCGCGCGCGGCGGGCUACGGGAGGCAGCAGUGGGGAAUAUUGCACAAUGGGCGCAAGCCUGAUGCAGCCAUGCCGCGUGUAUGAAGAAGGCCUCCGGGUUGUAAAGUACUUUCAGCGGGGAGGAAGGCGAUAAGGUUAAUAACCUUGUCGAUUGACGUUACCCGCAGAAGAAGCACCGGCUAACUCCGUGCCAGCAGCCGCGGUAAUA